UACGUAGGCAGCGAGCGUUGUUCGGAGUUACUGGGCGUAAAGCGUGCGUAGGCGGUGUCUUAAGUUUGUUGUGAAAUCUCCCGGCUUAACCGGGAGGGUGCGGCGAAUACUGAGAUGCUGGAGUGCCGGAGAGGUAAGCGGAAUUCCUGGUGUAGCGGUGAAAUGCGUAGAUAUUGGGAGGAACACCAGUGGCGAAGGCGGCUCACUGGCCCGAUACUGACGCUGAGGCACGAAAGCGUGGGGAGCAAACAGG
RNAcentral lists this ribosomal RNA (253 nucleotides) under uncultured bacterium. RNAcentral describes it as "partial 16S ribosomal RNA". It matches the Rfam family "Bacterial small subunit ribosomal RNA", at positions 524 to 776 of the family's 1533-position model. The record is from RNAcentral.